Long non-coding RNA from Quercus robur (English oak), 1539 nucleotides. RefSeq lists it as uncharacterized. The transcript has 6 exons. The record is from RefSeq and is a predicted model, not a curated record. Lineage: Eukaryota; Viridiplantae; Streptophyta; Magnoliopsida; Fagales; Fagaceae.
UGCUGUAAUACUAUCUGCCUCUUUUAUGUGGCUUAGGACGUAUGCAAGGUUUGUUGCAAGAAGAUAUAUUAGUUCCUAAAGCUAGCAAAAGUGCUUUUGGCUUUCAGUAAAUUUUUGUUUUAUCUAUAGCAAUUCAAUAUCUUAAAUUUUGCCUUCAAAAACCAGGCUUUUCCAAGUGGCACAUAGAAUUGAAAGACUUUCUACAUUCUUUUAGCCAGUAAGACUUCCUAUCUUUAACACCAGUUGAUGGAGCUUAGUCUGAUUCACCUGCGCUAAUUUGAUCAAAAUCUACCAUUUUAGGAUCUCAAGGGAGUCUAUUAUCUCCACAAGCAGCAUUUUCUUCAAUUGAAAUUGAAUGUUACAAUUCUUUUUUUCCCCCUUUGAUUUGGUUAUGAACUAAGAAAUAUGAGUAAGUUUUGGGUAUUUUGGUUGGGUUGGUUUUGAUUUAAGCUUUUUGGUUGGGUUAGUUGUAUAGUGAAAAGGCAUGUCUGUUUUAUUUCAAUGUAAUUUGUCAGGCUCCUCCAUAAAUACCACGAAAGUUUGGGUUGUGAUGACUGAGAGUCUAUGUUCGUAACCAGAUUUCAACAUCCAUACUUUAGAAUGUAUAGUAAUAAUAAUUUUUUGGUAAAUGGAUGUCAUACCCAAAAAAAAAAAAAAAAAAGAUUUAAAAGGAAAGGCAUUUAAGUAAAUUUUUUUGUGGGGUCAAUUUUAUAAUUUCUAAUUAUAAGGGAGUUUUUUUAGAAAAUAAGGUUGAAACCCUAACUAUUUAUAAGCUUAUUAAGUCAAUGUAUAGAGGAGAUAUUUUGAGAGAGGAGAUUACUCAAAGGACUGAAGUAGAGAAAGAUUGACUACACCCUUGAGUGUUGCGUUAAUUGCAAAAGAAGGCUCUUGGAUCAGGUUUUGCAUAGGUUGACCGAAUUGGGGUUUUGGCGAAUUGCAAAAGGUGAUAUCUAAGGAUUUUAGAAGAAGUGUUAGGGAGAAGUUCCUUUUGGUAUGGCUUUUGGAGUUUUAGAUUGUGAGGAAAAGCAAGUUUUGGGAGUUUUGAUGUUGUGUUGUGAGCAAGGAAAGAAGAUUAGUGGUUUUGGAAUCAGUUGUGAUACAUAGGCUACAGUUCACAAGUCAUAGUGAUUGAGGCACUGCAUUAGAACGAGUACCAAAAAUUUUGAAAGUAAGAAACCCAAUGAUGCUUGAAAGAACAGGGGCCUACCUUCACUAGCCUGCCACCACUGGUCAGCCAGUGAAACCACUAUCGGUAAAACUAAUUUCUUUCUUUUUUCCCUUUCAGUUGUACUGCUUUGGAUUUUAUUUCUUAAUCUUCUUCUCCUUUACUAUUAUAGAGUGAAUUGGGGAAUUGGACCUUUACUUAGCAGUAGUUGGAUUUGAAAUAAACUCAUUCUAUUUUGUAGAAUAGAUUAGGUGAUUACGUUGGGUGUCAUUACUCAUUAGGAUGUUAUUAUCUCAUUAGCCAAUUGUUUCGGCUAUUUUAAUUCUAAUUAGUUUGCUAUUUGAAUUAUUUUCAAUUGGAUGUAAUCCAUAUCA